UUUCCGUAGGUGAACCUGCGGAAGGAUCAUUAUUGUAUAACCGAGGUGCGUGGGCUGUCGCUGACCCGAAAGGUCGUGCACGCCCGAGUGCCCUCACACACAUCCAUCUCACCCCUAUGUGCACCACCGCGUGGGUCCCCCUUUGGCUUGUUCGGAGGGGGGCUUACGUUUUCACACAAACUUUGUAUGCAGUGUAGAAUGUAUUUUUUGUUUUUGCGAUCACGCAAUCAAUACGACUUUCAACAACGGAUCUCUUGGCUCUC
RNAcentral lists this unclassified non-coding RNA (263 nucleotides) under plant metagenome. Its description in RNAcentral is "partial contains small subunit ribosomal RNA, internal transcribed spacer 1, and 5.8S ribosomal RNA". The record is from RNAcentral.